This is a non-coding RNA of Drosophila melanogaster (fruit fly), 599 nucleotides long. The record is from Ensembl. NCBI's taxonomy places the organism in Eukaryota, Metazoa, Arthropoda, Insecta, Diptera, Drosophilidae.
ACAAAUAUACUUUGAAAUCUUUUGGUCGCCAAAUCGGAAAUGUUUUUGGCUUAUUUACACAUUUAAUGCUUUCGGCGCCGUCUGUAUAUUCGACAUUAACAGACGCCGACUGGCAAAAUGCAAAGCCAGAAAACCCGUUUCGGUUUCUGGAGAAGAAGCCAUUCGAGAUCGAAACCGUGGAGCAACGCCGAGGGAUACAAACAAAGAUGGGGCGAAAUGCAUCCCAAAGGAACAGUGAAUCGCAACGAGGAAAUAAACAGUGUGUUGAUACGAGAUUAGCUAAUUGAAAGCUUAAAUAUGCAUGCCAAUCUACUACGCUCAGCUCAACUUAUGCUAAUUUCCACUCGACUGUCGGAUUCAAAUUCUAUUCUAUGUGUUGUAGUCCGUGACGUCAGGUGGCAACAGCAUAUGGAGGCACAUCGGAUCGGCGUGACCUUUGACCGCAGACAGCGAGCUUAGCAUACCGAAAACUUAACUAAAACAAGUCUUGGGUUAACCAACAAUUGGAUUCGAAUAAUUCGUCAAUUCCUGACAGUUAACUAAUCGCUUAAAAAUUCGAAUUGUGUGUAGAAAAUAAAGAACAAUCAUUAGCAAACCAC